This 45-nucleotide non-coding RNA is filed under the name Schistosoma haematobium. Lineage: Eukaryota; Metazoa; Platyhelminthes; Trematoda; Strigeidida; Schistosomatidae. The record is from RNAcentral.
AUCUAGCUGACGAGUCCCAAAUAGGACGAAAGCCACGUCCUGGAU